Bufo gargarizans (Asiatic toad) is the source of this 1403-nucleotide long non-coding RNA. RefSeq lists it as uncharacterized. The record is from RefSeq and is a predicted model, not a curated record. The transcript has 3 exons. NCBI's taxonomy places the organism in Eukaryota, Metazoa, Chordata, Amphibia, Anura, Bufonidae.
GCUAGCAUGCCUGAGAGAGCAGUUCAGAGGGUCUUAGCACUAAUUGACCAAUUGACAUAAGGGAGCAGUCACCUCUGUGGCCAAUAUUUGACUAGAGGGUGUCAAACUAAAUGUUUAUAGCAGGGGACCAAAGCACUGUAACAGAGGAGCGAAGAAACUGGGGCCCAGUCAUAUGGAGCAGCUGUUACCUGGCUGAAACCCACUUGUCGUCAGAGGAAGGCUAACGAGACCAACAAACAACGCCGAAAAAACAAACAACGCCGAAAACAACUACUGUUGCCUCUACAUUCAGCAGCGUUAUACAGCGUCUCGCAGCGAACCGGACCAUCCAAAAGCAUCGAACACCACGCAGGGGAAGACUAUGAGGAAUUGAUGUGGAACCCCAUGACCCGCACGUCUUUACUGUAGUGCCACAUUUAGACAAACAGGAAAACAAGAGCUAAACCUGUGCCAGCCAAGGCACUUAAUGCUGCAAAUUACACCAUUUCCCUCUCAUUUGAUUCCAGAAAGAGAACAAGGGCUGCACAAUGAGCGUGGACUGUGCAGUAAUAAUCUGACUAUUUCUUGCUACUUUUCCAUGGUGUUAAAAGUAUUUCUUAUUUACAAAACCAUUUCUGCACCUCGGCUGUGCAGCCGAUGUUCUGUUAUAGAGGUCUUCUCGCCCAUAAAGGGGUAUUCCAGGAGCCCCAUAGCCUGUCGCCACAAAUAUUCAUCACCCCAUUUUAUUCUCUUUUUCUAUGUGUCUUGCCUUAUUUCCAUGCAUUGCAACAUCAUUUCAGACACUGGCUGGGCCUACAGCAACAUUUAUCCUGGUGCAUAAACAGAAUUUUUGAAUAGUACAUACUGACACAUACACUCUGGGGUAACUAUGCAUACAUGCUCACCAAUGGAAUAUUUAUAUGUCACGCAGAGGUACUCAUAUGGGCACUGUAAUAGCUGUCAUUAAUCUCUGUCAGUAUCUACACUACUUACAAAAAGUUAGGGAUAUUUGGCUUGUGGGUGAAAUGUCAGAAAAAAACUAAAAUGCACUCUAACCUUUACAGGUGAACUUAAUGAGACCUUUUCUAAACUUUGGAAUGCACAAAUCCAACUGUUCAAUGUUUUAGUACUUUUUGCACAACUUGCUGUUCUCUAACAAGGAGCUUAACGCCAAAAUUCACAACAGGUGUUUGAUCCAUGAAUCACCCAAUAAAUUUCCUGGUUCAAUUAAGACAGCUAACAAUUGAUCAACAUUACCUUGCCAUUGUGAGGCUUGAAACUGUGAGAUGUGGAAACACUUGUCUGAACUCUGUUUGUGUAAAUUAAAUGAUCUGGACUGACAUUCUGCAGUUUGGCUACAAGAUGCCGCUGUUUCCUAAACACAGCUACAGACUACAUAUAUUUUCAUAUUCAUGAGAGGUGGA